AGCAGCCGCGGUAAUUCCAGCUCCAAUAGCGUAUAUUAAAGUUGUUGCAGUUAAAAAGCUCGUAGUUGAAUUUCGGAAUCAAUUUGUUGGUCGUGCCUCGGUACGUACUGGUAUUAUUGGUUUCUACCUUCUGAAGAACCUUGAUGUCAUUAAUUUGGUGUCUUGGGGAAUCAGGACUGUUACUUUGAAAAAAAUUAGAGUGUUUAAAGCAAGCAUACGCUUGAAUACAUUAGCAUGGAAUAAUGAAAUAGGACGUUUGAUUCUAUUUUGUUGGUUUCUAGGAUCGACGUAAUGAUUAAUAGGGAUAGUUGGGGGCAUUAGUAUUCAAUUGUCAGAGGUGAAAUUCUUGGAUUUAUUGAAGACUAACUACUGCGAAAGCAUUUGCCAAGGAUGUUUUCAUUAAUCAAGAACGAAAGUUAGGGGAUCGAAGACGAUCAGAUACCGUCGUAG
This 450-nucleotide ribosomal RNA is filed under the name uncultured Glomeromycotina. Its description in RNAcentral is "SSU rRNA". It matches the Rfam family "Eukaryotic small subunit ribosomal RNA", at positions 569 to 1023 of the family's 1831-position model. The record is from RNAcentral. Lineage: Eukaryota; Fungi; Glomeromycota.